This 408-nucleotide ribosomal RNA is filed under the name Clostridium sp. C51. RNAcentral describes it as "bacterial SSU rRNA". It matches the Rfam family "Bacterial small subunit ribosomal RNA", at positions 945 to 1356 of the family's 1533-position model. The record is from RNAcentral. Lineage: Bacteria; Bacillati; Bacillota; Clostridia; Eubacteriales; Clostridiaceae.
UUUUAGUAGCAAGCAAAACGACAACCCUUACCGAGAUUCUACUUCACCUCAAUUACCCGUAAUGAGGUAAGCCGUAAGGCGCAGGUGAACGGGUGGUGCAGGGUUGUUUUCAGCUCGGGUCGUGGGAUGUUGGGUUAAGUCCCGCAACGAGCGAACCCCUUAUCUUUAGUUGCUACCGUUAAGUUGGGCACUCUAGUGAGACUGCCGAGGUUAACUGGGAGGAAGGUGGGGAUGACGUCAAAUCAUCAUGCCCCUUAUGUUUAGGGCUACACACGUGCUACAAUGGGUGGUACAAAGGGAUGCCAGACCGCGAGGUGGAGCUAAUCCUAUAAAACCAAUCUCAGUUCGGAUUGUAGGCUGAAACUCGCCUACAUGAAGCCGGAGUUAUUGGUAUCGCAGUGCACAAUA